This 441-nucleotide ribosomal RNA is filed under the name uncultured bacterium. RNAcentral describes it as "bacterial SSU rRNA". It matches the Rfam family "Bacterial small subunit ribosomal RNA", at positions 339 to 797 of the family's 1533-position model. The record is from RNAcentral.
UUACGGGAGGCAGCAGUUGGGAAUCUUGGACAAUGGGGGAAACCCUGAUCCAGCCAUGCCGCGUGAGUGAUGAAGGCCUUCGGGUUGUAAAACUCUUUCGCGCACGACGAUAAUGACGGUAGUGCGAGAAGAAGCUCCGGCUAACUUCGUGCCAGCAGCCGCGGUAAUACGAAGGGGGCUAGCGUUGUUCGGAAUUACUGGGCGUAAAGCGCGCGCAGGCGGUCUUCCAAGUCAGUGGUGAAAGCCCGGAGCUCAACUCCGGAACUGCCAUUGAAACUGUGAGACUUGAGUAUGAGAGAGGUGAGUGGAAUUCCCAGUGUAGAGGUGAAAUUCGUAGAUAUUGGGAAGAACACCGGUGGCGAAGGCGGCUCACUGGCUCAUUACUGACGCUCAGGCGCGACAGCGUGGGGAUCAAACAGGAUUAGAUACCCGGGUAGUCCC